UACGUAGGGUGCAAGCGUUGUCCGGAAUUAUUGGGCGUAAAGAGCUCGUAGGCGGUUUGUCGCGUCUGCUGUGAAAACUCGGGGCUUAACCCCGGGCCUGCAGUGGGUACGGGCAGACUAGAGUGCGGUAGGGGAGACUGGAAUUCCUGGUGUAGCGGUGAAAUGCGCAGAUAUCGUAAGGAAGACCAGUGGCGAAGGCGGGUCUCUGGACAAUUCCUGACGCUGAGGCACGAAGGUCAGGGGAGCAAACGGG
Molecule: ribosomal RNA, 253 nt
Filed under: uncultured bacterium
Lineage: Bacteria
Description: partial 16S ribosomal RNA
Rfam family: Bacterial small subunit ribosomal RNA
Source: RNAcentral